GACGAACGCUGGCGGCGUGCUUAACACAUGCAAGUCGAACGGAAAGGCCCUGCUUUUGUGGGGUGCUCGAGUGGCGAACGGGUGAGUAACACGUGAGUAACCUGUCCCUGACUUUGGGAUAACUUCGGGAAACUGGGGCUCAUACCGGAUAGGAUCUCUUGCUGCAUGGUGGGGGUUGGAAAGUUUCGGCGGUUGGGGAUGGACUCGCGGCUUAUCAGCUUGUUGGUGGGGUAGUGGCUUACCAAGGCUUUGACGGGUAGCCGGCCUGAGAGGGGGACCGGCCACCUUGGGACUGAGAUACGGACCAGACUCCUACGGGAGGCAGCAGUGGGGAGUAUUGCACAAUGGGCGGGAGCCUGAUGCGGCAACGCCGCGUGCGGGAUGACGGCCUUCGGGUUGUAAACCACUUUCGCCUGUGACGAAGCGUGAGUGACGGUAAUGGGUAAAGAAGCACCGGCUAACUACGUG
Molecule: ribosomal RNA, 468 nt
Filed under: uncultured bacterium
Lineage: Bacteria
Description: partial 16S ribosomal RNA
Rfam family: Bacterial small subunit ribosomal RNA
Source: RNAcentral